This is a long non-coding RNA of Rosa chinensis, 1154 nucleotides long. RefSeq lists it as uncharacterized. The record is from RefSeq and is a predicted model, not a curated record. The transcript is spliced from 4 exons. NCBI's taxonomy places the organism in Eukaryota, Viridiplantae, Streptophyta, Magnoliopsida, Rosales, Rosaceae.
CAAGUACGUUUUGAAUAAAGAACAAGUGUGUGUUGCUGCUUAGCUAGCUAAUGCAUUUAUAUAGUAACCUCAACCCGACUGUUUAAUUCACUCCUGAAUCAAUCGCAUGAUCAACCUAACGAGAUGAAAGCUUUCCAUGUCAAGUCUCAACUACUCAACUCAUGUAAAUCUGCUGAGUGUGACAGCGCCAUUCAUUCUUCCUCAGCCUCACACAUGUAAAAUCUGCCAGCCAUUCACUCUCUCUUUCUCCCUUUUUGCCUACCUGUUCCUUUCUCUCUUCCUCGUUGGAGCGAAACAGCAGCAGCAGCCUCUGUUUUUUCCGUUUCUUCUCUUCCACCGUGACUACCACCGGUGGAGCAAGAUUCUAAACAGAUUACAAGUAAGACAGUUGUUGCCCAAGGCUGGGUGAUUGAAGCAGAGGAUAUAUACGGUUCGUAUUUGUUUUUGUGCCUGUGAGGCAUAAGCUCCUCCACCGGUUGCUGCUUCGGAUUGUGAGAGAGAAUAAUUACUGUGCUUUGGGUGGUUUAGGGUUUAGAGUUAUCUCUCAAGGAAUGAGCUUUUCCUCUGUAAAGGGUCUGAUUCUCAAUUUCUAACCAUCAAAUUCUGCGGCAAAGUGCGGGCAACUUUUCUAGUUCUCUACUCCAAAGUUCCAACCCUUAUGAACAGUAAACUCUUAUGAAUAGUGCACUGACUUUCUUGCCCCUGCUAUUUGCGUCGAAUUGCCAUUAGUUACCUGCCGUUUGUCCUCAUCACACCGCUUCGAAGAUUUUCGGUUUAUAUCAGCUUUCGUUUCUCAGUUUUGAUGGUGUUGUUGGAUGAUUUGAGUGAUUGAGAAGUAAUCGCUCCGUGUGACGAGAUUGAUUUGUUGCCAGUUCAGCAGCUUCCGACGAUUUAGACCAACUGCUUGAUAGUGCUUUAGAUGACUUCCAGAAAUAUCAACCUCAGCAAACCCUCCCUUGAAGGGUUCCAUCUUUUUCUUCAAAGCUUUAAGCUUUACUGUUCAAUUAAGAAUUUCAUAAGUUUCUGUGUUAUGUAGGGUUCAGAACAGAAUUUUAGCAUAUAGAACAGUGCGUUGAAAAGGACCAACAUCAGGACUUCUUAGCCUUUCAUAUCCAUUUUACUCUUCUUCUGAAUCGAUGAAAUGAGUAGCAAAA